RNAcentral lists this long non-coding RNA (1847 nucleotides) under Zonotrichia albicollis (white-throated sparrow). RNAcentral describes it as "lncRNA (ENSZALG00000003416.1)". Lineage: Eukaryota; Metazoa; Chordata; Aves; Passeriformes; Passerellidae. The record is from RNAcentral.
CUGCUACCUACUAAGACAAUUUUCCACUGCUUCUUCUCUCCUCCCCGAGCCACCUCUUCCCAUCUGCUGCCUGCUGUCAUUUUUUCCAGUUCCACCCAGGCCUUGCCUCACUCCCUAGCCUGUCCCAGAAUUGGAACAAUGGCUUUUUGAUCUACAAUCAAAACCUAUCAUUUGAUCAACAAUCUGCAGGCAAACAGCUCUCUGGAGAGAGGUCUACAUGGUGGUUGCCUGAACUCACAUCUGUGCAGAUUCUAACCUCUUGGCGUGCUUGGGCUGCUCACAUUAAGGAAAAGGUGUGAGAAGGCCACCUCAGAGUGCUGGCCAGCUUCAGAUGCAGUUGCAACUGCAACCAAUUUGGAAGCAGCUGGAUUUCUUUGGCCACAUCUGCCUGUGUUGGACACCGUUAAAUCCUAGUGGCAGUCCUGGAUCUGGGACUCUGUAGAAAACUUCUGGCUUUUGCUGAUUACUGUGCUGACUCCUGAGUAUUUUGGGGAGGCAGACUCAUCGUGGUGCUGGCAUUUUCCCCUGAGAAGAAAGAGAAUACAUUUGUUCCUCUAGGGCUACAACAGCAAGCACUGCCUGUAAGGAGGAUCUGAGAUAUUGUAUAGUAUUGGACUUGAGUGACUCAGAAGGAUGAUGCUUACUGGGCUGAAGGUGACAAAGAAUAAUCCCAUUUCUCCUGCAUUUUGCUAGUCAGCAAAGUGUCAAAAGUAUUGCUGGUUGGAUGGGACUGAGACCAGAUCAGUAUUUAACAUAAACCCCCAGAAGGCUGUGGAGAAGAUCUUUGAGACAGGGAUGGAUGGUUGUAAGUGUGAGCUUAUAUGUGAGGACAACUGAAACCAGUGAGGAGGAUGCCAGAUGCUAAUUGAAGGAGAAAAAGUGUUCUGCCAUCUAUAAUGUUUUACUGAGGUUCUCCUUUCCAUCACCUUAGGAGAAUGUUUUGUGUUUUAAAGGCCAGCAGGGGUAUCCAAUCUAAGACAUUGUUGGAAGUCCAUGACCUAAUCCAAGUAUUCCAGAGCAGCUUCCUGGAAAGGAGAAUUUUAAGAACAAGAACAGAAAAAAAGCCUGGUAAAAGCUGUAACUGGCUCUGCCUGUCUGUGCUAUGACAGCCAACAAUAUCACCUGCUGAUGAUUUACAGAUUCCUGGGAGAUGUGUUGUUGAGUCUCAAAGAACUGGAACAAGAACAACUCGCUCAAAUUGCUUCCCGUGAAACAGCAUAAUGUAUCCACCCGCUUCAUACUCUCCUAAUUUAGGACAUGUGUAGUCUGUAAUGAUGAACUGGCCAACUGAUUAUGUUGCUGUAAAUCUCGUUCCCCACCUUACAAAACACCCCUGAUUGACCCCUUUUUCAUGAUAGCUCAGUGCAGCAUUUCCUGUCCACUUCUUGAGAGGGAGAAAAUCAGCACCAGCCACUUGCAAAAGCACUUCUCAAGAGUGAAAAAUGUAACAUUUUGUUGUUUUUAUUUCACUGGGCAGCCUUUUCAAGUUCUGUGACCCACUUUUGCUUCCCUUUAAAUUGUGACCAAUAUUUAUUUAUCCCUCUUUGAACACAAUAACUUAAUUAAGAAACUAAUCAGCAGUGUUGAACUGAUCUUUCAACUCACCCCUGUCACUGAAAGAAAUUUAUGAAUGCAUAAUACAAGAAAGAUCCUAUUAUCUAAAAAGCUUUCUACUAAAAGCAUUUGGCAUCUAAAAAGUAAGACUUGAAAUUCUGUGCUAAAUUUAUAAUGUAAAUAUGUGAACCUUAUUUAUAGAGUCUGAAAUGUACCCCAACUGAAUCUAACAAUUUUUUUCUGGAUUUUUUAUUAAAAAUAAAAUUGUCACAAGUUUAAAGGAUUGAAUUGUA